GAUGAACGCUGGCGGCGUGCUUAACACAUGCAAGUCGAACGAGAAGUGAAGACGGAAACCUUCGGGCGGAAGGCUUUAUUUCGAGUGGCGGACGGGUGAGUAACGCGUGGGUAACCUGCCUCAUACAGGGGGAUAACAGUUGGAAACGACUGUUAAUACCGCAUAAGACCACAGCACCGCAUGGUGCGGGGGUAAAAACUCCGGUGGUAUGAGAUGGACCCGCGUUCGAUUAGCCAGUUGGCGGGGUAACGGCCCACCAAGCGACGAUCGAUAGCCGAUCUGAGAGGAUGACCGGCCACAUUGGGACUGAGACACGGCCCAAACUCCUACGGGAGGCAGCAGUGGGGAAUAUUGCACAAUGGGGGAAACCCUGAUGCAGCGACGCCGCGUGAGUGAAGAAGUAUUUCGGUAUGUAAAGCUCUAUCAGCAGGGAAGAAAAUGACGGUACCUGAGUAAGAAGCCCCGGCUAACUACGUG
This 477-nucleotide ribosomal RNA is filed under the name uncultured bacterium. RNAcentral's name for it is "partial 16S ribosomal RNA". It matches the Rfam family "Bacterial small subunit ribosomal RNA", at positions 28 to 507 of the family's 1533-position model. The record is from RNAcentral.